GUUGGCUUAGAAGCAGCCAUCAUUUAAAGAAAGCGUAAUAGCUCACUGGUCGAGUCGGCCUGCGCGGAAGAUGUAACGGGGCUAAACCAUGCACCGAAGCUGCGGCAGCGACGCUGAUGCGUUGUUGGGUAGGGGAGCGUUCUGUAAGCCUGUGAAGGUGGCCUGUGAGGGUUGCUGGAGGUAUCAGAAGUGCGAAUGCUGACAUAAGUAACGAUAAAGCGGGUGAAAAGCCCG
This 234-nucleotide ribosomal RNA is filed under the name Salmonella enterica. Its description in RNAcentral is "partial 23S ribosomal RNA". It matches the Rfam family "Bacterial large subunit ribosomal RNA", at positions 1100 to 1332 of the family's 2925-position model. RNAcentral also lists the same sequence under 2 other names. The record is from RNAcentral. Lineage: Bacteria; Pseudomonadati; Pseudomonadota; Gammaproteobacteria; Enterobacterales; Enterobacteriaceae.